GAACUGAAGAGUUUGAUCAUGGCUCAGAUUGAACGCUGGCGGCAGGCCUAACACAUGCAAGUCGAGCGGAUGAGUGGAGCUUGCUCCAUGAUUCAGCGGCGGACGGGUGAGUAAUGCCUAGGAAUCUGCCUGGUAGUGGGGGAUAACGUUUCGAAAGGAACGCUAAUACCGCAUACGUCCUACGGGAGAAAGUGGGGGAUCUUCGGACCUCACGCUAUCAGAUGAGCCUAGGUCGGAUUAGCUAGUUGGUGGGGUAAUGGCCCACCAAGGCGACGAUCCGUAACUGGUCUGAGAGGAUGAUCAGUCACACUGGAACUGAGACACGGUCCAGACUCCUACGGGAGGCAGCAGUGGGGAAUAUUGGACAAUGGGCGAAAGCCUGAUCCAGCCAUGCCGCGUGUGUGAAGAAGGUCUUCGGAUUGUAAAGCACUUUAAGUUGGGAGGAAGGGCAGUAAGCGAAUACCUUGCUGUUUUGACGUUACCAACAGAAUAAGCACCGGCUAACUUCGUGCCAGCAGCCGCGGUAAUACGAAGGGUGCAAGCGUUAAUCGGAAUUACUGGGCGUAAAGCGCGCGUAGGUGGUUCAGCAAGUUGGAUGUGAAAGCCCCGGGCUCAACCUGGGAAUUGCAUCCAAAACUACUGAGCUAGAGUACGGUAGAGGGUGGUGGAAUUUCCUGUGUAGCGGUGAAAUGCGUAGAUAUAGGAAGGAACACCAGUGGCGAAGGCGACCACCUGGACUGAUACUGACACUGAGGUGCGAAAGCGUGGGGAGCAAACAGGAUUAGAUACCCUGGUAGUCCACGCCGUAAACGAUGUCGACUAGCCGUUGGGAUCCUUGAGAUCUUAGUGGCGCAGCUAACGCGAUAAGUCGACCGCCUGGGGAGUACGGCCGCAAGGUUAAAACUCAAAUGAAUUGACGGGGGCCCGCACAAGCGGUGGAGCAUGUGGUUUAAUUCG
This 957-nucleotide ribosomal RNA is filed under the name Pseudomonas sp. ENNP23. RNAcentral describes it as "bacterial SSU rRNA". It matches the Rfam family "Bacterial small subunit ribosomal RNA", at positions 1 to 953 of the family's 1533-position model. The record is from RNAcentral. Lineage: Bacteria; Pseudomonadati; Pseudomonadota; Gammaproteobacteria; Pseudomonadales; Pseudomonadaceae.